AAAAAAUGUUACGAAGUCAUGAGUCAUACCUUCGUGCUACCAUAAAAAAAAUCUACAAAAAAACACACAUUUGUGUGUUUCCAUAAAUCACAUUAUUUGACUGGUGUGUAGCUCCCCUGGUAAGAAUAAUAUUUGAAUCAGCAGCCAGCUAAGCUCCAAAAGCAUGUUCCCCUUUCAACCUUGAUUCAUAUUUGGUCCAUAAUAAUUUUCCACUCGUCUCUCUAUUAUUUUCAUGGACAACUCCCCAAUGUCAAUGUAAAGAAAAGAAAUACGUAAAAAUACAUAAACUACUUAUAAUAACCAGGCAUCCAAUAAAUUACGGGAAAAUUAGAUCCAAACGCAAAUAGAAGAUAUGUUUCUUAUUAAAAUAUUUAAUCAAAUCACGGGGAGAGACAAAAUUUCAAUGAUACCAAUUGAGAAUGUACUAUCAGACAGUAAUUCCGAAGGUGUCACAACAAAAGGGAAACAUUUUGGUGAAGGGGAACAGCCCUAAAUGAUGCUUUUCUAGGUCACCAAAGCCAUAUUGCUGCAUUGUCGUCAUCUUGACCUAUCCUAUAAAAUUAAAGAACCAUCAACCAUUGCUGACACUGACAAGCAGUUUUCUUAGUCAUGACUAGCCAUAUGCAAAACAAAAAAUAUCAAGAAAUAUGAAGACAAAUACUACUGAAAAUAACCUCAAGCCGCUACACCGAGUAUUAAAGUGUUCUAACUCAUCAUUCAUAUUCACAACCUGUCGUAAUUGACUCCAAGAAAAUUAUGAAGCUCCACGGGUAUCAAAAAGCUUCUCAACCAGCAAAUAUGAAACAAGAUUACGAAGCUCAAGCUGAUAAGUACUACACCUUCAUGAAGGCAAACAAAAACUAUAUCUUCAUAUGAUUAAAAGUUAGUUAUCAUACCUCUUCUACCACAGAGAGUGUUUUUUUUACGGUAACAUUUCCAGUAUGACAUUCUCCACAUUAUAAUUUAUUUCAAAAUGAGAUAAGAUUCCUCAAAACCUCCGUCUAUAUGAUUCAAAGGAUGUGCUGCUACAAAUUCAUAAAAAAUACUUGAGAAAAUCGAGUGGCCAACACAAGCACAACAAUUGAGUGAUAGCCGAAGGAGCACAAUAAUAUUUCCACUUCCUUGGAGGGGGCACAAAGGCAUUACACAAUUUCUGCUCUUCCAUGUUUUUUCAAGAAAACAAAGACAAAAAAUUGGAACUAAAAGGUAAGUACUGUCAGAAGGCAUGAAACGGAUGGAAAAUAAGACAAACGAAGAGCAGACCAUAGGUUGCAUAGGAAGUGGCCCCAACGGCGCCGAUGACUGUUGCUGCAACUCCAAACUUCAGAAAACCCCAAGCUCGCGAUCCCUUCGCGGCAUCCGCGCUCCCAGAAGUGGCGGCAGCUGAUUCAGCGGAAGAAGCGGCGGUCUGAUCCCCAAGGGUGGCGGCGCCGGAGGCGACGAUCUGCUCCUUCGAAGGAUUCGCAGAGACGGUAGGAGAGCAGAACGGCCGCCCUCCACUCCCGCACCUGUACACGUGGGGGAGGAGGCGGCGGGAUCGUACCAGCCAAGACAUGACCCUCCUGCUUCCUUCUCCCCUCUUCUCACUGAUCGAGCCAGCAACCGAGGGGGCUUCUCAGGGUUUUAGCAAGGUUUUCGAAGCAGAGGCGGAGCUCUGGAGUGGCGGAGAUGGGCAGUCGGACAGCGGCGAGGGCAGUUAGAAAUCUCCCGUUCAUGAAGGGCGGCGUUUUCUCCUUCUCACGGACAAAAAUACCCCUCCAGCAUCCGUAACGAACAGCGCCGAAAAUGGAAACCGGACCCGACAUCAAAAUC
This 1812-nucleotide long non-coding RNA is filed under the name Spirodela polyrhiza (greater duckweed). RNAcentral's name for it is "long non-coding RNA (SPOL_LNC001281)". The record is from RNAcentral. Lineage: Eukaryota; Viridiplantae; Streptophyta; Magnoliopsida; Alismatales; Araceae.